This 1651-nucleotide long non-coding RNA is filed under the name Solanum tuberosum (potato). Its description in RNAcentral is "long non-coding RNA (STUB_LNC006702)". The record is from RNAcentral. Lineage: Eukaryota; Viridiplantae; Streptophyta; Magnoliopsida; Solanales; Solanaceae.
AUGUCUUCUAAUUAAGGAAAGGGAGUGAUAGAACUAUGUGGUUCUUGAGAAAGAGUACGUGCAAGUUAUUACUCUAUUUUCUUCUUCUACUAAUGAAGUUAAGCAAUACACUCAAAGAGAUGAAACAAGUAAGUUUUUUCAUGUCUCUUGAGAUUUAAUUACAUAUUUAACUGAAUCUACUGCUCAUAACAUGGUAAAUCAUUUUUUUUGGUUGAACAAAACAACUUAUUGAUAACAGCUUAUUCCCAAUUGGAUUGUAGUGAAGGACAAAGUGCUAUUUUUUAUAACAAAACAAUUUCUCAUGAUAACAACUUUUUUUAUCAAAUAAAACAACUUCUCCAUGUGCUAUUGGGAAGGGACAAGGAAAAGGACUUAACAACUGCCAGCUGCACCGAAUCAUACUCUUCAAUAAGAACAUAGAAAUGUGAUGUCAUAAGAAAUAUAGUACUCCCUUAACUAGAUGUCUGACUCAAUAAUCUUUAAAUGAUUUCAGAGAUGGCUUAGAUUUGUUAUUUGUUGAGAGCUGCAACUAUGAUAGAGUAUAGCAACCCCAGUGUAGUACUCCCGCAACGAGAUAAACAAACUUGAUAUUCUUUCAGCUAUUGUACUACAUCAAGACAUAUAAACUUAAAAAUUAUAGAUGUUUUAGACUUUGAUACACUACUGAAUGGACACUUGAGGUUCUAAUAAGAAACUUUAGGAGGCAACCACAACUUAGAAUUAAGUGAGGCUGCUAUGAGAAAGGGAAAAAAAAUUCAUCCGUUGAAUGGAAAUCAAAGAUAACAAUAUGAUGAAAUCAUUGUGUCCAGUACUCUUCUCUGUUUUUGUCACCAAACACUACAUCAAGAUGUAUAAACUUGAAAAUUAUAGACGUUUUAGACUUGUGAUGUAGUACCAAAUGGACCCUUAAAGUUCUAUUUUUGUGCAUCAUUUGAUGGUUUCUUAGCAUAUUAUUUGUAAUGUUGCAACAAUGUCUCGAUCUUUUAGUAUGGUUAUCUAUUUUUUUGGUACACUUCCUGUAUUCGAAAUAUUUUUGUUCUUAUUUGAUGAAAAAGAAAAAGAAAGCUCUAAGAAUGAUUUGUAAGAGAUAUAAAUCUUUUUUCCUAGAAGAUGAUCACAGUUCAAUGGAUAUCUAUAAUGUUUAGCAGUGAAGUAACUCUUUAUUGCAGCAGAUUAUGUGAUAAUGAACAUUGGAGCUGUAUUAAAACAUUUUUUUUUAUUGAAAAUGACCAAAAUGGUUACUUGAUCAUGGUGAUUGUUCUGAUUCAAGGGGUCGGCAUGGAAACUUUUUCUUGCAUUUGUGAUAAAAAUUUGAAUUAUUGGUUAAUGCAUCUCAAAGCUUGUUCAUGUUUCUGGAUAGCUCAAAACUUAUUCUUUCCUAAUUAAUUUUUUUUAAAUCCUUGCAGCUUGUUCAUGUAUCUAGAGAAUUUUGGAAAUUGAAGUUAUAAAUCAAGAUGUAAAUUAGAAGAUGAACAAGAUCAAUAUCAUUCUGUUAUGAAAGUUGUGUAAAACAUGAUUUCAUAGUUUAGCUCGAGAUGUUAAUCACCUACGUUUUAUUUGUUAAGAAAAUAUUGAAAUCUAAGUUUUGUUAACCAAUAUUUAUCAGUGUUUUCUAUGGAAAUUUCAGUAGCAAUCUUAUAUUGAUUGAUAA